This 428-nucleotide ribosomal RNA is filed under the name uncultured prokaryote. RNAcentral describes it as "bacterial SSU rRNA". It matches the Rfam family "Bacterial small subunit ribosomal RNA", at positions 355 to 774 of the family's 1533-position model. The record is from RNAcentral.
UGAGGAAUUUUGCGCAAUGGGAGCAAUCCUGACGCAGCAACGCCGCGUGGGUGAUGAAGGCCUUCGGGUCGUAAAGCCCUGUCAGGUGGGAAGAAUGUCCAGGGACUGAACAGGUUCCGGGAGUGACGGUACCACCAGAGGAAGCACCGGCUAACUCCGUGCCAGCAGCCGCGGUAAUACGGAGGGUGCGAGCGUUAUUCGGAAUUACUGGGCGUAAAGCGUGUGUAGGCGGUCCCGCAAGUCUGAUGGGAAAGCCCCGGGCUUAACCCGGGAAGUGCAUUGGAAACUGUGGGACUUGAGUACUGGAGAGGAUGGGGGAAUUCCCGGUGUAGAGGUGAAAUUCGUAGAGAUCGGGAGGAAUAUCAGUGGCGAAGGCGCCCAUCUGGACGGUAACUGACGCUGAGACGCGAAAGCGUGGGGAGCAAACA